GACGAACGCUGGCGGCGUGCUUAACACAUGCAAGUCGAACGGAAAGGCCUGCUUUCCCUUGUGGAUUGCGGGUGCUCGAGUGGCGAACGGGUGAGUAACACGUGAGUGAUCUGCCCCCAACUUGGGUAUAAGCCUGGGAAACUGGGUCUAAUUCCCGAUAGGACUGCAGGGUGGUGCCUGUGGUGGAAGACGAUUUUCUAGUGGUUGGGGAUGAGCUCGCGGCCUAUCAGCUUGUUGGUGGGGUAAUGGCCUACCAAGGCGGCGACGGGUAGCCGGCCUGAGAGGGUGGACGGCCACAUUGGGACUGAGAUACGGCCCAGACUCCUACGGGAGGCAGCAGUGGGGAAUAUUGCACAAUGGGCGGAAGCCUGAUGCAGCGACGCCGCGUGGGGGAUGACGGCCUUCGGGUUGUAAACUCCUUUCGACCGCGAGGAAGCCACCUGGUUGGAAGGGUGGUGACGGUAGUGGUAGAAGAAGCACCGGCUAACUACGUG
Molecule: ribosomal RNA, 494 nt
Filed under: uncultured bacterium
Lineage: Bacteria
Description: partial 16S ribosomal RNA
Rfam family: Bacterial small subunit ribosomal RNA
Source: RNAcentral